AGCUGUUGAGCUCGGUCAUGCCCUGAACCCCAGAGAAGACAACACGCAUGCCAUCUAAGAAGGCAGCCUGGUCAUCUGUGCACGUGACUAUACCUGGAUUUUCCUUCGUAGGAAAAAGGCAUCACUUUAUACAAAGGAAGACCAGCCUUCUUGAAACGACCCAGCAGUUGGAUGCGUACCUGAGGUGCUCAGGAGACUGUGUGCCAGCUAUCACUUAAGCUUAAUACGACACUCCCUGCCUCAGCAGCCUGUGAAAGUCUGUUUAGUGUUGCAGGGCUGAUCUUCACACCAAGAAGAGCAUGCAUUGACUCAAAGAACUUUGAGAACCAGCUGCUUUUGUGGAUGAACAAAGCCUAUUAGUAACUCUUUGUCGCAUGUUGAUUAACCUGUUGUUAUUUAAGUCCAAUGUGAUUGUUUAAAUAAAGGUUAAAUGAUGA
This is a long non-coding RNA of Tachysurus fulvidraco (yellow catfish), 437 nucleotides long. RefSeq lists it as uncharacterized. The record is from RefSeq and is a predicted model, not a curated record. The transcript has 2 exons. NCBI's taxonomy places the organism in Eukaryota, Metazoa, Chordata, Actinopteri, Siluriformes, Bagridae.